GUGUGGUCUUCCGGUCUAAAAAAUGCGUUACGUGGCCGCUUAUCUCCUUGCCAACCUUGGGGGUGUGAAACAGCCCACUGAAGCUGAUUUGGAGAAGAUUUUAGGCAGCGUUGGUAUUGAGGCCGAAGCCAGUAAAAUGAAGAAAGUCAUCUCACAGCUAAAGGACAAAGACCCAGCCACCCUCAU
This is a long non-coding RNA of Octopus sinensis (East Asian common octopus), 186 nucleotides long. RefSeq lists it as uncharacterized. The record is from RefSeq and is a predicted model, not a curated record. Lineage: Eukaryota; Metazoa; Mollusca; Cephalopoda; Octopoda; Octopodidae. The transcript is spliced from 4 exons.